Scylla paramamosain (green mud crab) is the source of this 1698-nucleotide long non-coding RNA. RefSeq lists it as uncharacterized. The transcript has 4 exons. Lineage: Eukaryota; Metazoa; Arthropoda; Malacostraca; Decapoda; Portunidae. The record is from RefSeq and is a predicted model, not a curated record.
AUGAUAAUUUGAAUAUAAAUUUUAUUUAUUUGUUUAUUUCUAAAUUAGUUCGUGUAUCAGUGUAUUUAUGUAGACGAGGAUUAAGCUCUGUACAAGGUGCGCAAGCCGCACGUCUUUGUGACGUGGCAGUGGGGAGGUGAGGUGAGGUGGCAGCAGGGUGAUGAGGUGGCGACGAACGGUCAGACAGGGUUAGUUGCUGUCCGCCCUAACCUGAAGUGUGUUGUGAUGGAUCACUGGAUGUAAUAUUUAUUCAAGAUUUGGGAUUAUUCUAUUAUGCUGUUUAUGAAUCCAACUACUCGUUCGGAAAGUUCAUGGAGGCAAUCCAUAUGCGGCUGGAGCUACCGUUGUGAGUUAUAAUUCUAAUGAUUAUUGUCCAAACGCUUGUAAUAAAGAAGUUAUGGCAGUGUUCAAGCUGUGUUAAUGGAUGCCUCUAUACAUUUGGACAACGCUCUAGGAUGGCAGAAGUGGAUUCAGGGAAGAUGGAGGAACUCGAGAUACAACGAGGCACCACCAAGAGAAAGUUUACCAGGAAGAGCAACAUUUUCAAGGAAAGUGUACUGCAAGAGGAUCCUAUACCAGUGCUACAACACAAUUAUGAUGAGGCCCACCCUUGUGGAUGCUACCAGCGCCUGAGGUGAGCUUUACCCCUACAACCAAGUCGGAUCCGCCUCCUCUCCAGCUGCAGCUGGCCUUGGAACACGUGGCGACAGUGACGUCCUCCAUCACAGCUCCUCAUCGCCUCUACACUGACGGGUUCCUCCAGUCGGAUGGAGCGGCUGGUGGUGCAGUUUUCUCACCUGACUUGGAACCACCUCCAGGUGGCUGGGUCGCCCGUCAGCUCGGAGACCACUCCAGAUCAACGUUGUGUGAGCUCUAUGCUAUCUUGGAUGCUGUUAGCCUCGUGUGUCAGAGGGGAGUGAAUGCAGUUGUUAUUUGUGACUCAAAGCCGGCCCUUCUGUCUCUUUCUGCUACCUGUCCCACCCACCUAAUAUUAGUUCAACAGAUUCUUUCCUUUUAGCAUUAAUGACUGCUCGUAAUGUGUGUGUAAAGUCUAUAUUGGUAAUAUCUCAUGUUGGUUUACGUCACAAUGCUAUAGCUAACCGCCUAGCGAAGGAUGCCUGCCGCCUACCUCCGCGUGGUGAUGGUCGUCCUCUCUCCCUGUCAUGCCACCUCUCCAGGGUCCGCUCCGCCGCUCUCCUACCUAUGCGGCGUCGCAGGGAUACUGAGAGGCCCCACAGUAUCACCAUCAACCAUUACAAGUCCGUCUGCCGCCACAAGUACACGUACCGUUGCCGGGGUCUUACGGUUCGGCGGCACAACAUUGUCUCGGCGCGUCUGCGGCUGGGCUACCGUCCGCCGUGGCAGAUUGCCGGGGUGGAGAGUGUCGCCUGUGCCGCGCACCGCUUGCCAACACCAUCGAGCACUACUGCCUGGUGUGCCCCACUGUUCGGCACCUCCUACCCCAAGGUCUGCCGCUGGAUGCUGUCUGUCGCCAUAUUCUGGUGCCAGAUUUUCUCGAUGAGAUUCUCGUGCGUUACCCUCGAUUUGGUGGCUUUUCCUGAUGCCCUGUGCCCUGCGUGGCAUCGGUGGCUUUUGUGUGAGUGUGGAUUGGUGGGUGGGGUGCGCGAAUGGGUGAGUGUGUGAGCGUACCAUUUGCUUUAGCCUUCAACUGUAAUUAAGUUUCUCUAUCUUAUGAUG